This 486-nucleotide ribosomal RNA is filed under the name uncultured bacterium. Its description in RNAcentral is "partial 16S ribosomal RNA". It matches the Rfam family "Bacterial small subunit ribosomal RNA", at positions 30 to 507 of the family's 1533-position model. The record is from RNAcentral.
AUUGAACGCUGGCGGCAUGCCUAACACAUGCAAGUCGAACGACAGCACGGGGGGUUGCACCUGUUGGCGAUUGGGGCACGGGGGUGUAUUACAUCGAGACAAGUCCUGUAGUGGGGGAUGGUCACGUGAAGGCAGGAUUAAUACCGCAGACGAUCUACUGAUAAAAGCGGGGUACAUUGUGGCCUCGGGCUUUUGGGUCGCCUGUUGGCUGAUUAGCUAGUUGGUGGGGUAAUGGCAUACCAAGGCGACGAUCAGUAGCUGUUCUGAGAGGAUGACCAGCCACACUGGGACUGAGACACGGCCCAGACUCCUACGGGAGGCAGCAGUGGGGAAUUUUGGACAAUGGGCGAAAGCCUGAUCCAGCAAUGCCGCGUGUGUGAUGAAGGCCUUCGGGUUGUAAAGCACUUUUGUCCGGAAAGAAAUCCUUGGCCCUAAUACGGGCAGGUGAUGACGGUACCGGAAGAAUAAGCACCGGCUAACUACGUG